This 666-nucleotide long non-coding RNA is filed under the name Monodelphis domestica (gray short-tailed opossum). Its description in RNAcentral is "lncRNA (ENSMODG00000043209.1)". Lineage: Eukaryota; Metazoa; Chordata; Mammalia; Didelphimorphia; Didelphidae. The record is from RNAcentral.
CAAGGUCAUCUGCUGCAUUUUGGGCCAUUGCCAGUCAUCUUGACUUUUUCCUGACACUAGACUUCAAUGACUCUUGAAGAGAGGGUGAGGCUGAUGAUUUUGUGCAACUCUUCCUUAAGUCCAAUUCACAAGCAAAUCAAGAAAUCACUCUUUAAUGUCACUGGUCCUCUUCAAAACAGAAGACAAACAACAUGACUGCUCUGUGGGCUCUAGCCAUUCAACUAAUUUUGAAUACUUCUGCCUGUACCAUUAUCUGAUCAAACCAUUAUAAAACUAUCUGUUAGGGAUUUAAAAAGACCCUUUAAAAAGAUAUUUUAAAAAGCACUGUAUUCCAUGUACCAUUGAAUAUUUGUCAAUAUAAGAAGGAUGGACUCUAUAAAUACCCCAAGAAUAUUGCUCAGGUGUUGUUGAAAAGAACUUAUUCAUGAGACUGAAAUGCUUAUGUCAUGUUGAAGGAAUAUCGAGAAGCAAAAUAUCUCCAUUUGGAGAGAGGAGCUUCUUAGAGGUCUUCUGGCCUGCCAUCUACAUGAACAGGAAUGUUCUUUGCAGUAACUCCCAAAAAGACAUGUUGGAAUGGAAAGGCAUUUGAAAAACAGUGCAUAGUUGGUGCUGUUUAAUUUUAAAUUUUUAUGACCUAAUAAAUGAUCAGUCUUUGAAGAUGUACCA